This 76-nucleotide transfer RNA is filed under the name Myxococcales bacterium 68-20. RNAcentral's name for it is "tRNA-Phe". It matches the Rfam family "tRNA". Rfam says of the family: Transfer RNA (tRNA) molecules are approximately 80 nucleotides in length. Their secondary structure includes four short double-helical elements and three loops (D, anti-codon, and T loops). The record is from RNAcentral. Lineage: Bacteria; Pseudomonadati; Myxococcota; Myxococcia; Myxococcales.
GCCCAGGUAGCUCAGUUGGUAGAGCAGGGGAUUGAAAAUCCCCGUGUCGGCGGUUCGAUUCCGUCCCUGGGCACUA